Molecule: transfer RNA, 82 nt
Filed under: Spirochaetota bacterium
Lineage: Bacteria; Pseudomonadati; Spirochaetota
Also listed under: 1 other name
Description: Spirochaetes bacterium (wastewater metagenome) tRNA-Leu
Rfam family: tRNA
About the family: Transfer RNA (tRNA) molecules are approximately 80 nucleotides in length. Their secondary structure includes four short double-helical elements and three loops (D, anti-codon, and T loops). Further hydrogen bonds mediate the characteristic L-shaped molecular structure. tRNAs have two regions of fundamental functional importance: the anti-codon, which is responsible for specific mRNA codon recognition, and the 3' end, to which the tRNAs corresponding amino acid is attached (by aminoacyl-tRNA synthetases). tRNAs cope with the degeneracy of the genetic code in two manners: having more than one tRNA (with a specific anti-codon) for a particular amino acid; and 'wobble' base-pairing, i.e. permitting non-standard base-pairing at the 3rd anti-codon position.
Source: RNAcentral
GCGAGUGUGGUGGAACUGGCAGACACGCUAGACUUAGGAUCUAGUGCUGCAAAGCGUGGGGGUUCAAGUCCCUUCACUCGCA